GGCCCUGUCGUCUAGUCAGGUCCAGGACGGGAGCCUCUCAAGCUCCAAACACGGGUUCAAAUCCCGUCAGGGUCA
Molecule: transfer RNA, 75 nt
Filed under: Planctomycetota bacterium
Lineage: Bacteria; Pseudomonadati; Planctomycetota
Description: Planctomycetes bacterium tRNA-Glu
Rfam family: tRNA
About the family: Transfer RNA (tRNA) molecules are approximately 80 nucleotides in length.
Source: RNAcentral